This is a long non-coding RNA of Marmota monax (woodchuck), 3839 nucleotides long. RefSeq lists it as uncharacterized. The record is from RefSeq and is a predicted model, not a curated record. The transcript has 2 exons. Lineage: Eukaryota; Metazoa; Chordata; Mammalia; Rodentia; Sciuridae.
UAUCUUUAUUUAUUAUUGUAUUUGUUUUUAUUUAUUUAUGUGUUCUAUUUGACGCUGUAAGGUUUGCAUCUGGAAAAUGUCCAAGAGAUUCAUGCACUGAAAUCUUGAGACCAAAUGCAGGAAUGUUCAGAGGUGGGGCUUUGGGAAUAUGAUUAGAUCAUGAGGACUGUAACCUCAUCACUGUAUUAAUCCACUGAUGGAUUCAUAAUUGGAUGGCAUUAUUGGGAGGUCAUGGAAACUCUAGGAGGUGGGGCCUAGGUGGAGGAAACAUCAAUGUAGGCAUGCUUCUAGCCCCUUCCUCACUUUCUCCCUCUGUUUUCCAACUGCCAUGAGGCAAGCAGCUCUGUUCUGUUAUAUGUUCCAUGCUGUGAUGUUCUGCCUCCCCACAAGGCCAACCAAUCAUGGAAUGAAAUCUCUAAAACCAUGAGUCAAAAUAAAUCCUUCCUCACUUUAGUUGUUUUUAUCAUGUAUUGUUACUGUGGCAGAAAACUGACUAACACAACAGCCCCCACAAAUAGAAGGUAAGUUCCACGAAGAAAGGAAGACUUUCUACCUGUUACUGCUAUAUCAUUAGUUCAUUGUUAAAUGUGUGACAUUUAACAGAUAGUUGUUAAAUGAAUAUAUAAAACUGAAAUAGUAGGUGCUUAAUCAAUUUAAAAAUACAUUUUGGGACCUGUGUAGGUUAAAAGUGAGGAAAACUCAAGUUAAUUUUCUUUCAACUAAGCUUCUUUUUCCCAUUUACAGAGAAGAAAAUUCUGUUCAAGGAGAGUAUACUGUAGGGCUUGAAAAACAUCCAUCAGAGUAGUUCUACAGGCAUUAGUAUUUCUCUCUGGCUUUUUUUUUAAUCUAAUGCAGCAUUAAAAAAAAAAAAAAAAAAAAAAACAUGUCUUGUUGAAUGAUACAAAGCAUUAUCCAAAGCACAGGGGGGUGUCUGAGAAGGUAGGUUUAGUAGCAUUGUAAUAUGAUUACAUUGUUUUGAAAUUCAUUACUUUUUCAUCUGAAUGAAUAUGAAACCCAGAAUAUUAAUACAAUGAAGACUGGCAGUUGAUGACCCUACAGAAGCUGCUCCAAGUUGCUGAUAAAACAAGGACAGUGGUACUUCUAAAUCUCAGAGUUGUUUGUAGGUGUCUUAUUUUUAAUCAAGAUUUGUAAGUAAUGGUGCAUGAGCUGUUCUCUGGCCAUUGUUAUUCAACACCAUCACCUACUAUUGUCUGCAAUCUUAAAUGGGCUGUCUCAUCAAUCAAACCUCCCCUUCCCAUAUUCACAGUACCUGGAGAAUCAACAAAGCAUGUAAAAUCAGCACUUUACUUGGUCCUUGAGAAGGUACUCCUUUAGACAUGAUGAGAGCCCCUUCCUUCUCCACAGCUCCUCAGACAAUUUAUAGCCCAUUCUGCACUUGACUUUUACAAAUACCAUCUUCAGAUAUAACAAGACCCCCUAGGGUUGAAGGGUGAAAAGGGGUUCUGAGGAAUGCCAUUUCCUUUUUUGAUGCCUUGGUGCCUGAGUGCCACGUGAAAGAUUUAAUACCAACUCUAUUCCUCUGAUGCAUAUGACAAUAUAAUAUCCUCUAACUGCAUCUGUUAUGUCUUUGUACAAAGAGGAAAAAUAUUCUUUGCAGCAGGACUACAAAAUUACACACAUUACAACUGAAUAUUCAGGUAUGAAAAUAGAUGUUCUUAUUUGCUGGGGAAAAAAAGCAACUGGAAAUUGUUUUUGUUUUUGUUUCAUGUUUCACAUAACAUGGGGCUGAAGGAGAAGGACUUAGUAAUUUUACAGGUGUCUUAAAAUACAUAGCUCAUGGAUAUUUGAUAGGAAUAUUUCAGCAUAGUGACACAAAAGUUACUUCAAGUAAACAAUGGAUAAAUCCAUGUUACCUCACUUUCAGUAGUAUUACAGAAAAGUUAAAGGCUGAUGAAUAGCUUUCUCCCCCUUUUAACAGCAUCUAUUUUUCUUUUUACCACUUUUGGCCAUCCAAAGUUGACUAGAGCUGUAAUCCAUCUAUGUACUAUUUACUUUAAGUGAAUUUUGUAAGUAUGUGAAACAUCUGGCUUCCUAUCUGUCCAAAUAUGACCAUUUGCAUGUAAGGGUAGGACAUAUGCCAUUUGCAAGCUGUCAGGCACUAUGUGGUCACUAAGUAAAUUUAAACUAAGUGCAAUAAAAAUGGCUAUCAAUUGUUAAAGAGUAAAAUAAUUUAUUAAGUAUCUGCCUAUCUUCCAUUGUGAUAUGACUCAUUUCUCUUAUCCUUACUUCCAAAGAAUAAUCAUUUUCAAUAACCAAUAAUGUCACAAACCAACCUGAUAAUUGGUGAGGGAACAUACAAACAUUUCUUUCUUCUUUUUUUGGUAAAUAGGAUGCUGCCAUGUUCAUAAGACAUGCCUUUCCUCCCUGUGGAAAUACCCUUGCUCAAUUUUUGUUGUGGAAAGGCAAGUAUCAGCUUUUGUGUCUAUAUGCCCAAUGUGGAAUUUUAUCCUUCUAAAACAGACUAACCCAUCUGGGAAUGGAGCUUACACUUUUAGUCUCACAAAAUGUUCAGAACCAACAAAUCCAGUUUAGGGCAACAUCCCCAACAUGCUCUUUUUCUUUGCCCACUAAGGCACUAAGCAUUCUGCAUUAUCAUGUUUAUCUUGGGCUUAAUAAAGUAUCAGGACAGACUAAGUGACAAAUGCAAAAUGUAAAAAAUUUCUCAAGUAAUAAUUAAAAUCAUGGUUUUCAGUCUGUAUGUGUAAGAAUACCAAGUAAUAGUCUCAGAAAAAUAGAGGAUAAUGACUACAUUCAUCUUUAGAUCUUUCCUCAUGAUUUUGUCCAUAAGUAGUGAUUAAGUAUAACAAAUUAAGAAGAUACACACUUACAAUAUAAAUUUUGCAUUAUUAUUCAGUCCACUUUAGAACUCUGGAAAAUUCAGUGGUAUCCCUACAAUUAUCAUCGUCAAACUGUGAUACCUAAAAGGAAAUGUUACAUCAUUUUGUAAAAUCCUUUCAUGUCUUCUCUUGACCUCAAAAGGAAAAGUAUGACCUCAUGUGGUGGUGCACACCUAUCAUCCCAGAGAUUUGAGAGGCUGAGCGAACAGGAGCACAAGCUCAAGGCCAGCCUCAGGAACCUAGUGAGACCAUGCUUCAAAGUGAAAAAUAAAAAGAACUGGGGAUGUGGCUUAGUGAACAGCACUGUGUGAGGAUGAAGAGAUACAUCACAUACAAGGAAAAUGAUCUCAUUGCUAAGGAGCCCCAAAUAAACUACGGACUCGAGAGAGAAUUUCCAAGAGUGGAAAGGUACAGAGUAAAGUGCCUUAGCCAAGGGCCUGGAGAAGGAGACCUUCACAUGGAAGCCUGUGGGCUAGGAAUAUGGAUGCUACGUUUAAGCAUAGCUGGGCCAAAGCAGGGGAUGGUUUUGGGGUUUCUCACUGAAUGCCAAUCUCUGCAGAAAACUAGAAUGCACUGGCUGUAGGGAGGGUAGCUCCCACUAUGGGGCCUGAAGGCAAAGCUUGGUGAGGCCUGAAAAAACAGACAGAGGAUUUUGACUGAAGCAGCAAUUGUCAGGGAUAAAUCUACUGUUUAAUGAAAAUGGAAUGGUAGAAGGACUAUUCUGGAGGAAAGCCUGAGACAUGAGAAUGUGAAGAAAGGAAGUAAAUAUCCAGUGAUUAUGUUAGUAUGAUGGUAUCUCUGAAAUGUACUCUUCCUGGAAAUAAAAGAAAGACUGUUUGUACCAAAGAGGUCAGCUGAGUAUAAGACCCAAACUUUCAGUGACCCCAAUACAUUUCUUAUUAAGAAGGAAUUUUUCAUUUUUGAUUCUUUGUCAUUAGAACAUUUGAUGAAAAGUGCUCAAUUAAAUGAAUUAAUGAAUUA